This 76-nucleotide microRNA precursor is filed under the name Myotis davidii. Its description in RNAcentral is "mir-9193 microRNA precursor family". It matches the Rfam family "mir-9193 microRNA precursor family". Lineage: Eukaryota; Metazoa; Chordata; Mammalia; Chiroptera; Vespertilionidae. The record is from Rfam by way of RNAcentral.
UUAGGGGUAGGAGGGGAUCCCUCAGCUCGGAUUUUGAGAGGGUGCAGGCCAGGCCGAGGGACCCCACUGGUGCAUG